RNAcentral lists this ribosomal RNA (439 nucleotides) under uncultured bacterium. RNAcentral describes it as "partial 16S ribosomal RNA". It matches the Rfam family "Bacterial small subunit ribosomal RNA", at positions 339 to 795 of the family's 1533-position model. The record is from RNAcentral.
CUACGAGGGGCACCAGUGAGGAAUAUUGCACAAUGGGGGGAACCCUGAUGCAGCAACGCCGCGUGGAGGAUGACGCAUUUCGGUGUGUAAACUCCUUUUAUAUGUCAAGAAAAUGACGGUAGCAUAUGAAUAAGCACCGGCUAACUCCGUGCCAGCAGCCGCGGUAAUACGGAGGGUGCAAGCGUUACUCGGAAUCACUGGGCGUAAAGGACGCGUAGGCGGGUUGGAAAGUCAGGUGUGAAAUCCUACAGCUUAACUGUAGAACUGCACUUGAAACUUCUAAUCUAGAGUAUGGGAGGGGGAGAUGGAAUUAGUGGUGUAGGGGUAAAAUCCGUAGAUAUCACUAGGAAUACCUAAAGCGAAGGCGAUCUCCUGGAACAUUGCUGACGCUAAGGCGUGAAAGCGUGGGGAGCAAACAGGAUUAGAUACCCCUGUAGUC